RNAcentral lists this ribosomal RNA (253 nucleotides) under uncultured prokaryote. RNAcentral describes it as "partial 16S ribosomal RNA". It matches the Rfam family "Bacterial small subunit ribosomal RNA", at positions 525 to 777 of the family's 1533-position model. The record is from RNAcentral.
ACGUAGGAUGCAAGCGUUGUCCGGAAUUAUUGGGCGUAAAGGGUGCGCAGGCGGUUUUUCAAGUCAGAUGUAAAAUCUCCCGGCUUAACUGGGAGGGGCCAUUUGAAACUGGAGGACUAGAGUGCAGGAGAGGAUAGCGGAAUUCCCGGUGUAGUGGUGAAAUGCGUAGAUAUCGGGAGGAACACCAGUGGCGAAGGCGGCUAUCUGGCCUGCAACUGACGCUGAGGCACGAAGGCUAGGGGAGCGAACAGGA